UAGGGAAUUUUCGGCAAUGGGCGAAAGCCUGACCGAGCAAUGCCGCGUGAAUGAAGAAGGUCUUCGGAUCGUAAAAUUCUGUUAUCAGGGAAGAAUAAACUAAAGAGUGGAAAGCUUUAGUGAUGACGGUACCUGAUGAGAAAGCCCCGGCUAACUAUGUGCCAGCAGCCGCGGUAAUACAUAGGGGGCGAGCGUUAUCCGGAAUUAUUGGGCGUAAAGAGUGCGUAGGCGGCUCAUUAAGUCAGUUGUGAAAUCCCAGGGCUUAACCCUGGAGGGUCAACUGAAACUAACGAGCUUGAAUCAAGUAGAGGUAAGUGGAAUUCCAUGUGUAGCGGUAAAAUGCGUAGAUAUAUGGAGGAACACCAGUGGCGAAGGCGGCUUACUGGGCUUGCAUUGACGCUGAGGCACGAAAGCGUGGGGAGCAAACA
Molecule: ribosomal RNA, 428 nt
Filed under: uncultured Bacillota bacterium
Lineage: Bacteria; Bacillati; Bacillota
Description: uncultured Firmicutes bacterium partial 16S ribosomal RNA
Rfam family: Bacterial small subunit ribosomal RNA
Source: RNAcentral